AGACCAAGUUUAAGAGUCAAUUUUGGCCCAUUAAUGUAAAAAAGAUAGUAUGCAAUUAAUUGACUAACCUUAUAUAAUCUAUAUAAGUAAAAGAUUAUAUCUUCCAAUUCAAGUUCUUAUGUCUUCAAAUUGGUAAUGUUUCAAAAAUAGAGAUGAUGGAUUGGUUUAUAUAAAGAUUUAAAUAUAUGAUCCAAUGAGAGGUGGAAUUAAAGAUCUACAAAUAUUUGAGGAAGCUAUUAGGAUUGCAAAGUAGGCUGAUAUUAUAGAUUUCAAAAACUAUGGAACAUGACGUUGUCGUAUUACGUGCUUUCCUGCUCGAGAACGCGCCAGGCGUUUGGCUAUAGAAGGUAGUAUGGAGAUUCGCUAAUAUUCAAGCAGUCUAUCGGUU
RNAcentral lists this long non-coding RNA (388 nucleotides) under Physcomitrium patens. RNAcentral describes it as "long non-coding RNA (PPAT_LNC007994)". The record is from RNAcentral. Lineage: Eukaryota; Viridiplantae; Streptophyta; Bryopsida; Funariales; Funariaceae.